AAUCCAUGUUGUGGGCACCUCCGCAAAAGAUCCUUAAAGGGCUCCCAUGUCUCAAACAAUGAUUCUAACUCCAUCUUUAAAAAUGACGAUAUCUCAUUGCAAAGCUU
Molecule: small nucleolar RNA, 107 nt
Organism: Dioscorea cayenensis subsp. rotundata (Guinea yam)
Lineage: Eukaryota; Viridiplantae; Streptophyta; Magnoliopsida; Dioscoreales; Dioscoreaceae
Source: RefSeq, a predicted model, not a curated record